AUUGAACGCUGGCGGCAGGCCUAACACAUGCAAGUCGAGCGGAUGAAGGGAGCUUGCUCCUGGAUUCAGCGGCGGACGGGUGAGUAAUGCCUAGGAAUCUGCCUGGUAGUGGGGGAUAACGUCCGGAAACGGGCGCUAAUACCGCAUACGUCCUGAGGGAGAAAGUGGGGGAUCUUCGGACCUCACGCUAUCAGAUGAGCCUAGGUCGGAUUAGCUAGUUGGUGGGGUAAAGGCCUACCAAGGCGACGAUCCGUAACUGGUCUGAGAGGAUGAUCAGUCAACCGGGAACUGAGACACGGUCCAGACCCCCACGGGGGGCAGCAGGGGGGAAUUUUGGACAAUGGGGAAAAGCCUGAUCCAGCCCUGCCGGGUGUGGGAAGAAGGUCUUCGGAUUGUAAACCCCUUUAAGUUGGGGGGAAGGGAAGUAAGUUAAUACCUUGCUGUUUUGACGUUCCCAACAAAAAAAGCCCCGGCUAACUUCGU
This 483-nucleotide ribosomal RNA is filed under the name uncultured bacterium. Its description in RNAcentral is "partial 16S ribosomal RNA". It matches the Rfam family "Bacterial small subunit ribosomal RNA", at positions 30 to 506 of the family's 1533-position model. The record is from RNAcentral.